CCGGCACGGGUGAGUAACACGUAUCCAACCUGCCGUCUACUCUUGGCCAGCCUUCUGAAAGGAAGAUUAAUCCGGGAUGGCAUCAUGAGUUCACAUGUCCGCAUGAUUAAAGGUAUUUUCCGGUAGACGAUGGGGAUGCGUUCCAUUAGAUAGUAGGCGGGGUAACGGCCCACCUAGUCAACGAUGGAUAGGGGUUCUGAGAGGAAGGUCCCCCACAUUGGAACUGAGACACGGUCCAA
Molecule: ribosomal RNA, 239 nt
Filed under: uncultured bacterium
Lineage: Bacteria
Description: partial 16S ribosomal RNA
Rfam family: Bacterial small subunit ribosomal RNA
Source: RNAcentral